AUUGAACGCUGGCGGCAUGCCUUACACAUGCAAGUCGAACGGUAACAGGUUAAGCUGACGAGUGGCGAACGGGUGAGUAAUAUAUCGGAACGUGCCCAGUCGUGGGGGAUAACGUAGCGAAAGCUACGCUAAUACCGCAUACGAUCUACGGAUGAAAGCGGGGGAUCGCAAGACCUCGCGCGAUUGGAGCGGCCGAUAUCAGAUUAGGUUGUUGGUGAGGUAAAAGCUCACCAAGCCCGCGAUCUGUAGCUGGUCUGAGAGGACGACAGCCACACUGGAACUGAGACACGGUCCAGACUCCUACGGGAGGCAGCAGUGGGGAAUUUUGGACAAUGGACGCAAGUCUGAUCCAGCAAUGCCGCGUGCAGGACGAAGGCCUUCGGGUUGUAAACUGCUUUUGUACGGAACGAAACGGUGAGCUCUAAUACAGUUUGCUAAUGACGGUACCGUAAGAAUAAGCACCGGCUAACUACGUGCCAGCAGCCGCGGUAA
RNAcentral lists this ribosomal RNA (492 nucleotides) under uncultured bacterium. Its description in RNAcentral is "partial 16S ribosomal RNA". It matches the Rfam family "Bacterial small subunit ribosomal RNA", at positions 30 to 523 of the family's 1533-position model. The record is from RNAcentral.